This 74-nucleotide transfer RNA is filed under the name Companilactobacillus paralimentarius. RNAcentral's name for it is "tRNA-Glu(ttc)". It matches the Rfam family "tRNA". Rfam says of the family: Transfer RNA (tRNA) molecules are approximately 80 nucleotides in length. The record is from RNAcentral. Lineage: Bacteria; Bacillati; Bacillota; Bacilli; Lactobacillales; Lactobacillaceae. RNAcentral also lists the same sequence under 1 other name.
UGACUCCUUGGUCAAGUGGUUAAGACACCGCCCUUUCACGGCGGUAACAUGGGUUCAAAUCCCGUAGGAGUCAU